UUCCAGCUCCAAUAGCGUAUAUUAAAGUUGUUGCGGUUAAAAAGCUCGUAGUUGAAUUUGUGUCUCGCACUGUCGGUUCACCGCCCGCGGUGCUAACUGGCAUGUUUGCGAGACGUCCUGCCGGUGGAUGGUACGUAAUGUGAAGAUCUUUACGGGUCUUCAUUUUGCUCAUCCGACUUUUGAAAUCCUGUCGCGGUGCUCUUAACUGAGUGUCGAGGCGGGCCGGCACGUUUACUUUGAACAAAUUAAAGUGCUCAAAGCAGGCUAAUUAAUGCCUGAAUAAUUAGUGCAUGGAAUAAUGGAACAGGACCUUGGUUCUAUUUUGUUGGUUUUCGGAACCCCAAGGUAAUGAUUAAUAGGGACAGAUGG
Molecule: ribosomal RNA, 369 nt
Filed under: Anchomenus dorsalis
Lineage: Eukaryota; Metazoa; Arthropoda; Insecta; Coleoptera; Carabidae
Description: SSU rRNA
Rfam family: Eukaryotic small subunit ribosomal RNA
Source: RNAcentral